AAAUUGAAGAGUUUGAUCAUGGCUCAGAUUGAACGCUGGCGGCAGGCCUAACACAUGCAAGUCGAACGGUAACAGGAAGCAGCUUGCUGCUUUGCUGACGAGUGGCGGACGGGUGAGUAAUGUCUGGGAAACUGCCUGAUGGAGGGGGAUAACUACUGGAAACGGUGGCUAAUACCGCAUAACGUCGCAAGACCAAAGAGGGGGACCUUCGGGCCUCUUGCCAUCAGAUGUGCCCAGAUGGGAUUAGCUUGUUGGUGAGGUAACGGCUCACCAAGGCGACGAUCCCUAGCUGGUCUGAGAGGAUGACCAGCCACACUGGAACUGAGACACGGUCCAGACUCCUACGGGAGGCAGCAGUGGGGAAUAUUGCACAAUGGGCGCAAGCCUGAUGCAGCCAUGCCGCGUGUAUGAAGAAGGCCUUCGGGUUGUAAAGUACUUUCAGCGGGGAGGAAGGUGUUGUGGUUAAUAACCGCAGCAAUUGACGUUACCCGCAGAAGAAGCACCGGCUAACUCCGUGCCAGCAGCCGCGGUAAUACGGAGGGUGCAAGCGUUAAUCGGAAUUACUGGGCGUAAAGCGCACGCAGGCGGUCUGUCAAGUCGGAUGUGAAAUCCCCGGGCUCAACCUGGGAACUGCAUUCGAAACUGGCAGGCUUGAGUCUUGUAGAGGGGGGUAGAAUUCCAGGUGUAGCGGUGAAAUGCGUAGAGAUCUGGAGGAAUACCGGU
RNAcentral lists this ribosomal RNA (723 nucleotides) under Salmonella enterica subsp. diarizonae. RNAcentral's name for it is "bacterial SSU rRNA". It matches the Rfam family "Bacterial small subunit ribosomal RNA", at positions 1 to 713 of the family's 1533-position model. Lineage: Bacteria; Pseudomonadati; Pseudomonadota; Gammaproteobacteria; Enterobacterales; Enterobacteriaceae. The record is from RNAcentral.